Molecule: transfer RNA, 57 nt
Filed under: Ovis aries (sheep)
Lineage: Eukaryota; Metazoa; Chordata; Mammalia; Artiodactyla; Bovidae
Rfam family: tRNA
About the family: Transfer RNA (tRNA) molecules are approximately 80 nucleotides in length. Their secondary structure includes four short double-helical elements and three loops (D, anti-codon, and T loops).
Source: Rfam by way of RNAcentral
UGGCUCAGAUGGUAAAGCACCUGCCUGCAAUGCAGGAGACCCAGGUUCGAUCCCUGG